Molecule: ribosomal RNA, 254 nt
Filed under: uncultured bacterium
Lineage: Bacteria
Description: partial 16S ribosomal RNA
Rfam family: Bacterial small subunit ribosomal RNA
Source: RNAcentral
UACGGGGGGAGCAAGCGUUGUUCGGAUUUACUGGGCGUAAAGGGCGCGUAGGCGGCCACCGCAAGUCGGUUGUGAAAUCUCUGGGCUUAACCCAGAAAGGUCAACCGAUACUGCGGGGCUAGAGUGCAGAAGGGGCAACUGGAAUUCUCGGUGUAGCGGUGAAAUGCGUAGAUAUCGGGAGGAACACCGGUGGCGAAGGCAGAUCUCUGGGCCGUAACUGACGCUGAGGAGCGAAAGCCAGGGGAGCAAACGGG